RNAcentral lists this ribosomal RNA (253 nucleotides) under uncultured bacterium. Its description in RNAcentral is "partial 16S ribosomal RNA". It matches the Rfam family "Bacterial small subunit ribosomal RNA", at positions 524 to 776 of the family's 1533-position model. The record is from RNAcentral.
UACGGAGGAUCCAAGCGUUAUCCGGAAUCAUUGGGUUUAAAGGGUCCGUAGGCGGUUUUGUAAGUCAGUUGUGAAAGCCCAUCGCUCAACGGUGGAACGGCCAUUGAUACUGCAAGACUUGAAUUAUUAGGAAGUAACUAGAAUAUGUAGUGUAGCGGUGAAAUGCUUAGAGAUUACAUGGAAUACCAAUUGCGAAGGCAGGUUACUACUAAUAUAUUGACGCUGAUGGACGAAAGCGUGGGGAGCGAACAGG